Molecule: long non-coding RNA, 1844 nt
Organism: Populus trichocarpa (black cottonwood)
Lineage: Eukaryota; Viridiplantae; Streptophyta; Magnoliopsida; Malpighiales; Salicaceae
Exons: 6
Source: RefSeq, a predicted model, not a curated record
CCAAAUUUAACCCGCUCAUACCUCUUAAAUUCUGCCAAAAAAUCCAUUUUUAACUUUUUCAUUUUUCAGUGUACAUUUUUUUAGAUUAUUAUUAUCGAAAAAAAAAAAUUCCCGUUCCCUGUCCCGGAGCAAAACAGAGUGAGAGAUUCACUGCGUCUCUCUCUCUCUCUCUCUCUACCAACAAAUGGCUUUCACUUCAUUUCUCGGACGAGUUCCCUUUUCCUCUGUUUCCAUACUCCCCGCAUGUUUAAUGAGCUUUGGGUUGCCGGGGGCCCAGCAGCGAACGCAUUGAAACCAAAGUUUGGUGUGUUUGCCAGUCGUGAGCAGUCUCAUGCUGGCAUACAAGUACCGGAAAUUGAAGUGAGGAUCUCAGCCAUAGAAAAAUUUGAGAGAGAUUGUAGGCUUAUUAGAAAAAUAAAAAAAAAAUUGUGAGAUGUUGAUACUUAUCUUGAACUCUGGUGUGUGGUGAUUGCUUUUUUUCCUCUUUUUUUGUAAUGGCAAUGGGGCAGCUGGCAUCUAGGAUUUCAAGGUGGAAUAUCAUGGGCAUGCUGCUUGGUGACGAAGGGCCUUUCUCGCUUUGUCACACAACACACAAUAUGACAAACCCUGGUUAUGAGAACAUGGAAGCUUUGCUUGGUAGAACUGUUGGUGUUAUUUUAAGGAAGUUUGAAUCAAAGCUGUAAAGAGGCAGCUGUCAUACUGGAUUCUUAUUUCUUAGCAUGCCUCUUGUGUAUUUCCAUGCACACAUUGCAAACAGGUUUAGUGAUUAGAAGACAGUGGCUAAAUGACUUAAAUUAAAUGGUGACCCGUUCAAUUCUUAGGACUGUUUUGCAUUAUUUGAGUGGGUAUCCAUUUUGGCACUCUGGAAAAUCUUUAUAUGCUGGACAACUGAUGAAUGGGACUUGUAUGGGCAACAUGUGCAACCGUGAAUAGAUUUACACCAACAAUUAAUGAUUUUGACUCAUAACCAGAAUGUUUCACACUCCCAGUUGUCUUUUUUUACAUAUUGUUCUGUAAUUUUAGGCGGUAUAUGUAUGCACAGAUCAAACAUUUAUCCACUGCUGCGAUAUUUCUUGAGGGCAUUGGCGGCAUCCUAUUUAUCUUUGGCAGUUCUCUUGGAGCCUACCUACUGGUUGGUGCAAGAAAUAGUAUUUGACUUUUGGUCAUCUAAAGGGUAUAGCUAUGAGCAGUGGUGUAUCAUGUACUCAUUUAAUGAAUAUCAAGGUCCUUUCUUGUUGCAGAUUAUACAUCAGUUGAUUGCUUUUCCAAUCCUAUAUGAUUUCUAAAACUAUGACAGCAAGGAGAAAUAAUUUAAUCAACUUUUUAUCAAAUUCACACAGGUAUGAAGAACUCACUUCCCAGGAGACAGCACAAGUAGAAGGUUCCUAAAACUAUAACUGGUUAGGAACAAAUGGCUAUCAGUUGCAAAUGAAUGCCAUCUUGCUACAAUCAUCUUCGACAUUGCGAAAUAUUUGUGCCUUUUCUGUAUGCAUAUCUUGCCAGAGCUCAUCAAAAUCUUGUCUGACUUUUAUUGGGAUUUGCCGCAAUAAUCUAGCAAUAUUAAAAUGGAAAAGGCUUGUUCAGAUUGGUGCAUCUUAAUACAGGAGCUGCAUACCACUUGUGCCAUUCCAGAGGAAGAGGCGUCUCUCUCAAGCAUUUUGAGGCCAAAAAGAUGAGGGAAAGGACGUGCUCGCUCCAAUGUGUUGUAACUUCUCAAGAUUAAAGACUCCAAGAGCCUAUCGUGUUAACUUUUGUUUUUUAAAUUAUUUUUUAUUUAAAAAUAUAUUAAAAUAACUUAUUUUUUAUUUUAUAAAAAAUAAUAAUAAAUGAAGGUAGCUUUAAGU